CACCGGCCAUUUGAUCCAGACAUUUUCCAACUACACAUAACUCCCAUCCACUUCAAGUGAGACAGAAAGCCACUAUGGAAGGAGGCCAGAGCCCUGCUGUUACUCCAACCUACCUAGGAUGGUCCAUCUUUAAUACUUUAUGCUGUUGUGUGCCUCUGGGGAUUGCCGCUGUCUUCUACUCCUGUAGGGCACAAAAUGCUAAUGCUGUUGGAGAAUCAGCGACAGCCAUGGAUGCAUCAAGGACAGCCAAGAUUCUAAAUGUUAUUGGACUUGUCUGUGGAGUGAUUUUAAUCAUCAUUGUCAUCCUUGUAAAAUACCUUCAGUAUUAAUAACAUCAUUAAAGUUACCUGUUUUUGCAGGCAGAGUUGUUAGAAUGUCAGCUAAGCUUUUGUUACGAUAAAAAUGUUCCCCUCCUCCACACGCAGGACCACUAAAUAGAAACAGAUAUCUGUAUGUGUGUGCGCACAAGUCUUUGUCUGUGUUCCUCUUUCAAAUAAGUGCCUAUUAACACAUCCCAGGAAUUCUGUUAUAAUGCACUGCUUGUGAUGGUAAAAGCCAAAAUGUGAUUUGUAUAAGGAAAAAGCUGCUUCUGGUUUACAAUGGAAUGCUUCAAAAAAUAAACACUCCAAAAAGAA
This is a long non-coding RNA of Micropterus salmoides (largemouth bass), 635 nucleotides long. RefSeq lists it as uncharacterized. The transcript is spliced from 2 exons. The record is from RefSeq and is a predicted model, not a curated record. NCBI's taxonomy places the organism in Eukaryota, Metazoa, Chordata, Actinopteri, Centrarchiformes, Centrarchidae.